GAAGUACUGUGACAGAAAUGCUUGUACGAACUCGAACCCAGGCACAGAGAAACACAGCAAGCAGAGAAGACUGGGGGGGAGGAGUGUGAGGAGAGGAGGGGUGUUUCCCAAAUGGCAUCCUAUUCCCUAUUAAGUGCACUACUUUUGCCCAUGAAGCCCAUGGGGCUCAUUUUGGAAGCAGAAGAGGAGAUGCUGCCAACAACCAAAACUCAGUGGAUGCCCUGUGUUGCAUUCUGAUGAGGCACUGCCUCUUCUUCAUCACUUCGGCUGUGUUUCAUUCUAAGAUGUUCCCCCUUACUUCUACCCUCGUUCCCUUCCUUUAGUGGAUCUGAGACAACUGGUCCUCCCGGUGUUGACCCUUGCCUGUUUUCUGGACUCUGUACCCGCCGGCCUGACCAAUCAGCCUGCCC
Molecule: long non-coding RNA, 410 nt
Organism: Oncorhynchus mykiss (rainbow trout)
Lineage: Eukaryota; Metazoa; Chordata; Actinopteri; Salmoniformes; Salmonidae
Source: RefSeq, a predicted model, not a curated record